GACGAACGCUGGCGGCGUGCUUAACACAUGCAAGUCGAACGGAAAGGCCCUGCUUUUGUUGGUUGCUCGAGUGGCGAACGGGUGAGUAACACGUGAGUAACCUGCCCUUGACUUUGGGAUAACUUCAGGAAACUGGGGCUAAUACCGGAUAUGAGCUCCUGCUGCAUGGUGGUGGUUGGAAAGUUUCGGCGGUUGGUGAUGGACUCGCGGCUUAUCAGCUUGUUGGUGGGGUAGUGGCUUACCAAGGCUUUGACGGGUAGCCGGCCUGAGAGGGUGACCGGCCACAUUGGGACUGAGAGACGGCCCAGACUCCUACGGGAGGCAGCAGUGGGGAAUAUUGCACAGUGGGCGGAAGCCUGAUGCAGCAACGCCGCGUGCGGGAUGACGGCCUUCGGGUUGUAAACCGAUUUCGCCUGUGACGAAGCGUGAGUGACGGUAAUGGGUAAAGAAGCACCGGCUAACUACGUG
This 468-nucleotide ribosomal RNA is filed under the name uncultured bacterium. RNAcentral's name for it is "partial 16S ribosomal RNA". It matches the Rfam family "Bacterial small subunit ribosomal RNA", at positions 28 to 507 of the family's 1533-position model. The record is from RNAcentral.